UGUUAAGGAUGUUUGCAUCUAUGCUCAUGAAGAAUACUGGUCUUUUUCUUGUAAUGUUUUAAACCAGAAGUACAUGUAAUGUAGUAAACCAGAAUACACUGGCUUGAUGAAUUGGUCAAGGUUCCCUUUUCCUCUGUUUUCUCUAAGAUUUUGUGUAGGAUGGGGACCAUUUUCUCCUAACAUGUUUGAUAGAAUUCACUAGUGAAGGUACUGUGGUGUGAAGUUUCACUGUGGAAAUGUCUUUAUUAAUAAAUUCAAUGUAUUUAAAAGGGUGUGUAUGGUUCAUCUGAUUUCCCAUUUCUUCCUGUCACAAUUUUGGUAACUUUUGUUUUUCAAAGAACUCGUCCAUUUCUUUGAAGUAGUCAGAUUUGUUGACAUGAAGUUGUUUAUAAUAUUGCCUUGUUCUCCUUCUCUAGAAAUGGUAUCAUCUACUGCUGCAUAGGCAAACACUUAGAAGCUUAAAACAAAUAUUUAAAGAUUUCACAUAGGUUCCUAGGUUCUGGGUCAGGAAUUCCAAAGUGUGGUAGUUGGGUGGCCCUGGCCCAGGGGCUCUCAUGAAGCUGCAUGCCAUCAGAGGUUGGGGAAGGCCAUAGCCAUUGGGAGGGCUGACCAGGAAUGCAGAAUUGGCCAUCAGGGCAGUUCACACAUGAGUUGGACAGAUUAGGAUUGGUUGCUGGCAGGAGGUCCUUGUCAUGUGAACCUUGCCACUAGGCUUCUUAUCUGUGGUCAUAACAUGACAGCUGGCUGCUCCCAGAGUAGGGGAUUCAAUGCCAAACAAGGUGGACAACACAAUGUCUUUGAGGCCUGGCCUUGGGAGUCACACUUGGCCUCCUGCUACGUGUUGUGGAUGUCAUAGUGAACAGAGUCCAACCCUCAGACGGUCUGACCAUGUGUGGAAGAAGUGAGCCACAAAGCGGAG
RNAcentral lists this long non-coding RNA (919 nucleotides) under Mustela putorius furo (domestic ferret). RNAcentral describes it as "lncRNA (ENSMPUG00000030146.1)". Lineage: Eukaryota; Metazoa; Chordata; Mammalia; Carnivora; Mustelidae. The record is from RNAcentral.